AAUAAAGAGAACAUGAUGUUGGUUCAGAUCUAAUGCUAUGUAGAGACAUAACACAUGCAAGUUAAUAAAUUUAGCGUUAAGGUGAGUAUUAUAAGAUAUUUAAAAAAUCUUAUACAGAUGUAGGUAAUAGAUAUUUCUAGCCAUGGAACUGAAGCCGAUGAUAAACGUCAGAACGGUCACAUUGAUAUAAAUCAACUCUUAUAAAGAGCAGCAGUGGGGAAUCUUUGACAAUGGUCUAACGACUGAUCAAGUUAUCUACGAGAAAAAUAUUAAAAAAAAAGAAUUAAUAAAAGAUAAACUAUAAAUUUCUAAAUAAUAGUAAUAAUGAUACUAAUUAUGAAAGAGUCCUAACUAAAAUAUGUGCCAGCAGCUGCGGUUAGACAUAGAGGGCAAGCAUUGAUCAGAAUGGCUUAAAGGAUCUGUAGAACGUAUAAAAAAUAUAGAAUAAUAAAGGGUAAUAAGAAUUAAAGUUAGAGGGAUAAAAUCCAAAGAAAACAUUAAGACUAUAAAGAGAUUACUUAAAAUUAUUGACGUUGUGAGAUGAAGGCUACGGUAGCGACAUGGAUUCGAUACCCAUUUAGUCGUAGCAGUAAACUAUGAAUACAAUAAAAGAAAAAUGAAAAUGAAUAGUAUUCCGCCUGACUAGUACGCUCGCAAGGGUGAAAUACAAGACAUUAGACGGUUGUAGUCCCAAGCAGUGGAACAUGUCAUUUAAUUGGAUGAUCCUCCAAAAACCUUACCAUCUCUUGAAUAUUUUACAGGCGUUACAUCGUUGUCGUCAGUUCAUGCCGUGAGGUUUAAUAUUAAGUUAUUGAAUGAACGUAACCCUUUUCUAAUAAAAAGAUAAGUAUAAUUGUAAAAUUAUAGGAAGUAGAGGUUGAAGACUAAUCAUGAUGACCCUAAUGAGAUGGGCUAUCGACGUGUUACAAUAUUAAUAACAAUUAAAUUAAUAAUAUUAAGUUAAAUUAAAUAUUAAGAAAAAGACAUAGUUUCAUUUAUGGAUUGUAAUCUGAAAUUCGGUUACAUAAAGGAGGAAUUGCUAGUAAUCGUAAACAAUAGAGUUACGGUGAAAUUUUUUGCUACUUCGUACUAACCACUCAUCAACAGCAAGAAAUUUAAUUUUUACUUAUUGAGUUUAUAUUUAAAGGACUUGCUGUAAGUUGAAAUACGGUUCGGUUAGGGGAACCUGAUCGGGAUUUAUAAAUUUA
Molecule: ribosomal RNA, 1208 nt
Filed under: Metschnikowia hawaiiensis
Lineage: Eukaryota; Fungi; Ascomycota; Pichiomycetes; Serinales; Metschnikowiaceae
Description: small subunit ribosomal RNA
Rfam family: Bacterial small subunit ribosomal RNA
Source: RNAcentral